RNAcentral lists this unclassified non-coding RNA (312 nucleotides) under plant metagenome. RNAcentral describes it as "partial contains 5.8S ribosomal RNA, internal transcribed spacer 2, and large subunit ribosomal RNA". The stretch from base 1 to 105 matches the Rfam family "5.8S ribosomal RNA", at positions 50 to 154 of the family's 154-position model. The record is from RNAcentral.
GAAAUGCGAAAAGUAAUGCGAAUUGCAGAAUUCAGCGAGUCAUCGAGUUUUUGAACGCACGUUGCGCCCUCUGGCAUUCCGGGGGGCAUGCCUGUCCGAGCGUCAUUACGCACCCUCAAGCCCGGCUUGUGUGAUGGGCCCUGGCGUCUCGUUCGCGAGACGGGCCCGAAAGGCAGCGGCGGCGUCGACCCGAUGAGCCCGAGCGUAUGGGGACUUUUGUCACACGUUUGCGGUGCGGACCGGCGCCUGCUUGACUUUUCUGAUUAUCCAGGUUGACCUCGGAUCAGGUAGGGAUACCCGCUGAACUUAAGC